This 241-nucleotide ribosomal RNA is filed under the name uncultured bacterium. RNAcentral describes it as "partial 16S ribosomal RNA". It matches the Rfam family "Bacterial small subunit ribosomal RNA", at positions 796 to 1041 of the family's 1533-position model. The record is from RNAcentral.
CACGCCGUAAACGAUGGAUACUAGCUGUUCGGAGCAAUCUGAGUGGCUAAGCGAAAGUGAUAAGUAUCCCACCUGGGGAGUACGCACGCAAGUGUGAAACUCAAAGGAAUUGACGGGGGCCCGCACAAGCGGUGGAGCAUGUGGUUUAAUUCGAUGCAACGCGAAGAACCUUACCUGGCCUUGACAUGUCUGGAAUCCUGCAGAGAUGCGGGAGUGCCUUCGGGAAUCAGAACACAGGUGC